UCAAGUGACUAAGUGCAUGUGGCGGAUGCCUUGGCGAUCACAGGCGAAGAAAGACGCGGCAGCCUGCGAAAAGCUGCGGGGAGCUGGCAAACGAGCUUUGAUCCGCAGAUAUCUGAAUGGGGGAACCCACACCGCAAGGUGUAUCCGUGACUGAAUACAUAGGUUACGGAGGCGAACGAGGAGAACUGAAACAUCUAAGUAUCCUCAGGAAAAGAAAUCAACCGAGAUUCCGGCAGUAGCGGCGAGCGAACCCGGAGGAGCCUAGCUUUUGAUAGUACGAACUUUAGCCGAAAGGUCCUGGAAAGGCCUGCUAUAGUGGGUGAUAGCCCCGUAGGCGAAAGAGUUCGUAUGGUACUAAGGAAGCGAGAAGUAGAGCGGGACACGUGGAAUCCUGUUCGAAGAUGGGGGGACCAUCCUCCAAGGCUAAAUACUCGUGAUCGACCGAUAGUGAACCAGUACCGUGAGGGAAAGGCGAAAAGAACCCCGGGAGGGGAGUGAAAUAGAACCUGAAACCGCAUGCAUACAAACAGUAGGAGCCUCGUCAGAGGUGACUGCGUACCUUUUGCAUAAUGGGUCAGCGACUUACAUUCUGUGGCGAGCUUAACCGAAUAGGGGAGGCGCAGCGAAAGCGAGUUCGAAAUGAGCGUCCAGUCGCAGGGUGUAGACCCGAAACCAGAUGAGCUAUCCAUGGCCAGGUUGAAGGUGUGGUAACACACACUGGAGGACCGAACCGACUAGUGUUGCAAAAUUAGCGGAUGAGCUGUGGAUAGGGGUGAAAGGCCAAACAAAUCUGGAGAUAGCUGGUUCUCCCCGAAAACUAUUGAGGUAGUGCCUCGUGUGUCGCUCCAGGGGGUAGAGCACUGUUUUGGCUAGGGGGACAUGGAGUCUUACCAAACCAAGGCAAACUCCGAAUACCUGGAAGCGUAAGCACGGGAGACAGAGCACCGGGUGCUAACGUCCGGACUCAAAAGGGAAACAACCCAGACCGCCGGCUAAGGUCCCCAAUAACAGCUAAGUGGAAAACGAAGUGGAAAGGCCGUGACAACCAGGAAGUUGGCUUAGAAGCAGCCAUCCUUCAAAGAAAGCGUAAUAGCUCACUGGUCGAGUCCUUCUGCGCGGAAGAUGUAACGGGGCUAAGCUGUUAACCGAAGCCGCGGAUGCACUGAUUAUUCAGUGCGUGGUAGGGGAGCGUUCUGUAAGUCUGCGAAGGCGGUUCGAGAGGACUGCUGGAGAUAUCAGAAGUGCGAAUGCUGACAUGAGUAACGUUAAAGCAGGUGAAAAGCCUGCUCGCCGUAAGCCCAAGGAUUCCUGCUCUACGUUCAUCGGAGCAGGGUGAGUCGGCUCCUAAGGUCAGGCCGAAAGGCGUAGCCGAUGGGAAUCAGGUUAAUAUUCCUGAACCUGCGUCAGAUGCGAUGGGGGGACGGAGCAUGAAAGAUCAUCCGGGUGUUGGAUGUCCCGGUUGUUGAGCGUAGGAGGUCUGCAGGCAAAUCCGCAGACGCAUCUCCAAGGCAAAGACACGUGCCGCCACGGCGGCGAAGUGAUCGGAAGUGCUUCCAAGAAAAGCCUCUAAGCACCAGUCUGACGCGGACCGUACCGCAAACCGACACUGGUGGGCGAGCUGAAUAUGCUCAGGCGCUUGAGAGAACUCGGGAGAAGGAACUCGGCAAAUUGACACCGUAACUUCGGAAGAAGGUGUGCCGUAGUACCGUGAGAGGAGAGACACCUUGAGCGGGAAUCGGUCUCAGAGAAUAGGUGGCUGCGACUGUUUAUUAAAAACACAGCACUCUGCAAAGUCGAAAGACGACGUAUAGGGUGUGAUGCCUGCCCGGUGCUGGAAGAUUAAUUGAUGGGGUGAGAGCCCUUGAUCGAAGUCCCAGUAAACGGCGGCCGUAACUAUAACGGUCCUAAGGUAGCGAAAUUCCUUGUC
RNAcentral lists this ribosomal RNA (1927 nucleotides) under human gut metagenome. RNAcentral's name for it is "bacterial LSU rRNA". It matches the Rfam family "Bacterial large subunit ribosomal RNA", at positions 3 to 1973 of the family's 2925-position model. The record is from RNAcentral.